UAAUGAUCUCUGUUAACAGUAGUCCAGUUAGGGCUAGAUAAUGACAUGUUAACAGUAGUCCAGUUAGGGCUAGAUAAUGACAUGUUAACAGUAGUCCAGUUAGGGCUAGAUAAUGACAUGUUAACAGUAUUCCCGUUAGGACCUGAUAAUGACCUGUUAACAAUAGUUUCUCCUGAUGGCCAGUAGAACAGCGGGGUGUCACUGCAACGGCUCCACAGUUAUGGCCAGUUUUCCCGAACAGAAAUUAAGCCUAUUCCUGGAUGAAAAAAAAAACACUUUCAAUUAAGAUUCUCAAAUGAGAUUGGUGUUUGAUACAGGACUAGGCUUAAUCUGUGUACCAGGAUAGCGUCUCUUACAGCAUAUCUCACAGUUAGUGCUGCGUUUCAAAAGCCAGAUGAGUUUCUAAUCAAAAAGGACUACCAGAUGCACACAGCCCAGCAACAGACCAGGCUCGCCAGCUUAAAAGUGACACCAACCUACCAAAUAAACAGUGUUAUUAUUAUUAUUUAGAAAUCCAGUUCUCCGAACUAGCCAAGUGUUUAAUAAUGACAUUAUUCUGUUUUAUUAUCUAGUUUAAUAUGUUGGUGCCUCACAGACACUGAAAGACAAGAUCCUCUCUCUCUGGGGAAGUGCCUUGACAUCAGAUCCUGUUGUGACGUCAUCUCUCCACCAGGCAAUAGUGUUCACCACGUCUGCAUCGGGAAUGGUACCCUAGUGUACUAUAAAGGGAACAGGGUGCUAAUGGGCCCUGAUCUAAAGUAGUGCACUAUAUAGGGAACAUGGUGCUGGGGAGACCAGUCCUUCUAAUUUGCUGAAGGACUGCAUGAGGUUUGUGUUUAUUCAUUCUAGACGUGACCAAACAAACCGGGUAUCGAACCAGAGUCAUUUGAGUGCCUCAAGACCACAUUCGUCCACAGAGCUAAAGGCUUGAUAGGCCCCAGCUUUGGAUCUUACACUAGUCCUCAGGUUAGGUUCAUCAAUCAUCACGAUGGACGGGGGAGGAAAAACACUAGUCCUCAGGUUAGGUUCAUCUAUCAUCAUGAGUGGGGGAGGAAAAACACUAGUCCUCAGGUUAGGUUCAUCUAUCAUCAUGAGUGGGGAAGGAAAAACACUAGUCCUCAGGUUAGGUUCAUCUAUCAUGACGAUGGACGGGGGAGGAAAAACACUAGUCCUCAGGUUAUGUUCAUCUAUCAUGGAGGGAUAAGGAAUCACAUUUCUUAAUGAAUCAGAGAAGGACAGGUUGACUCUCUUUGAUGAGCUAGACCUUUAUGAGGCAAGGAUGGAGAGGUUGACUGUGUCCCGAUUCUCUACCCUUCUUCCGAAGUGCACAGGUGCAAACGGUCAUGGAUUUCACAAUGGUGGAAACUCCCUCUAGCCUUUAAAUCCACGAUGUGGAGUGUGCAAGUGCAUCCUUGGAGGAUCGGGAUGUAUCCGUGUGCAGUCCUCGGUCUGCUAUCAUGCUUCAUGGUGGUACAGUACUUCGAAUUGUCC
Long non-coding RNA from Oncorhynchus tshawytscha (Chinook salmon), 1491 nucleotides. NCBI's taxonomy places the organism in Eukaryota, Metazoa, Chordata, Actinopteri, Salmoniformes, Salmonidae. The record is from Ensembl.